RNAcentral lists this ribosomal RNA (450 nucleotides) under uncultured bacterium. RNAcentral's name for it is "partial 16S ribosomal RNA". It matches the Rfam family "Bacterial small subunit ribosomal RNA", at positions 354 to 796 of the family's 1533-position model. The record is from RNAcentral.
GUGGGGAAUAUUGGACAAUGGGCGAAAGCCUGAUCCAGCCAUGCCGCGUGUGUGAAGAAGGUCUUCGGAUUGUAAAGCACUUUAAGUUGGGAGGAAGGGCAGUAAGUUAAUACCUUGCUGUUUUGACGUUACCGACAGAAUAAGCACCGGCUAACUUCGUGCCAGCAGCCGCGGUAAUACGAAGGGUGCAAGCGUUAAUCGGAAUUACUGGGCGUAAAGCGCGCGUAGGUGGUUUUGUAAGUUGGAGGUGAAAUCCCCGGGCUCAACCUGGGAACUGCCUACAAAAAUGCAUGACUCGAGUACGGUAGAGGGUAGUGGAAUUUCCUGUGUAGCGGUGAAAUGCGUAGAUAUAGGAAGGAACACCAGUGGCGAAGGCGACUACCUGGACUGAUACUGACGCUGAGGUACGAAAGCGUGGGGAGCAAACAGGAUUAGAAACCCGGGUAGUCC